Amphiprion ocellaris (clown anemonefish) is the source of this 842-nucleotide long non-coding RNA. RefSeq lists it as uncharacterized. Lineage: Eukaryota; Metazoa; Chordata; Actinopteri; Pomacentridae. The record is from RefSeq and is a predicted model, not a curated record. The transcript has 3 exons.
UGCUGCAGCCAAUGAUGCGAUUCACAUACGUCUUUACCAUAGACUGUAUAUAAUGGUAUUUACGCAGCUAAUAAACGUCAGGCGUCCUUAUGUGCAGCUACCGUUGUUGUCAUAGAUAUGAAUGAGUAGAUAGGACACGCCCCUUUGAGCUGCGUGCUACAGCGAGGCUAAGCUAGUGGGUGCAAAGUUUUAGUGCAUUCCGUUGAUGUAGACGGCGUGAAAACGGCAACAAGAAGUAUGCCGGCUCACUGUGCUGCAUACAGUUACACACUGCGUCGUACGAUUGAGACAAGGAAACUUGGAAUGAUUUUUCAUAGGUUUCCCAGAAACUAUGGGUUGAGGAGGAAUUGGAAGUUUUUCGGCUUAGACCUGGUGUCAUUCCAUCAGUGUUAAACUUCCCGGCUCAUCUUGGAAGAGUACGUGCCAGAAAGACCACAACCAAGCAGCCUUGAGAUCUUAGGCAGCGUCUCCCUCAGGUCCCUCUCUAUCUCCCCACACAUCCACCAACCACUGGAACACAUCUCCAAAGUUCUGCUGGACCAGCUCAGCUUCCCCUCAGAAGAAGUGGUGCCACCUGCCAGAUGAAGGAGCCUUUUGAGAGGCAGCUGGCAUCGUGAUUGGACUGUACUUUGGUCUGUUCCAAUCCAGCUUCAGCUCCAGAGACGGCAGGCGGGACGAGUCAACGGAGGCCUGGUGGACGAAGGCAUGCAGCUGAGUACAAUCCAGAAAACAACAGAGGAGGAGUGCAGCAGCCCAGAGCCAGAACAAACAGAGUAGUAUCAUAUGUCUCUUAGAAAACAUCAUAGUAUAGCCUUUGGUAUAAAAAAAACGCCAUCAUAUAC